AGUGAACGCUGGCGGUAGGCCUAACACAUGCAAGUCGAACGGCAGCACAGUAAGAGCUUGCUCUUACGGGUGGCGAGUGGCGGACGGGUGAGGAAUACAUCGGAAUCUACUUUUUCGUGGGGGAUAACGUAGGGAAACUUACGCUAAUACCGCAUACGACCUACGGGUGAAAGCAUGGGAUCUUCGGACCUUGCGCGAUUGAAUGAGCCGAUGUCGGAUUAGCUAGUUGGCGGGGUAAAGGCCCACCAAGGCGACGAUCCGUAGCUGGUCUGAGAGGAUGAUCAGCCACACUGGAACUGAGACACGGUCCAGACUCCUACGGGAGGCAGCAGUGGGGAAUAUUGGACAAUGGGCGCAAGCCUGAUCCAGCCAUACCGCGUGUGUGAAGAAGGCCUUCGGGUUGUAAAGCACUUUUGUUGGGAAAGAAAAGCAGCAGGUUAAUACCCCGCUGUUCUGACGGUACCCAAAGAAUAAGCACCGGCUAACUUCGUG
This 492-nucleotide ribosomal RNA is filed under the name uncultured bacterium. Its description in RNAcentral is "partial 16S ribosomal RNA". It matches the Rfam family "Bacterial small subunit ribosomal RNA", at positions 29 to 507 of the family's 1533-position model. The record is from RNAcentral.